Molecule: transfer-messenger RNA, 402 nt
Filed under: Chlorobium sp.
Lineage: Bacteria; Pseudomonadati; Chlorobiota; Chlorobiia; Chlorobiales; Chlorobiaceae
Also listed under: 1 other name
Rfam family: transfer-messenger RNA
About the family: Bacterial tmRNA, also known as 10Sa RNA or SsrA, is named for its dual tRNA and mRNA-like properties. Its role is to liberate the mRNA from a stalled ribosome.
Source: Rfam by way of RNAcentral
GGGGAUGACAGGCUUUCGACAGGGCAGGUGUGAUAUGGAGUUGCACUCCGAGUUUCAGCAUGGAUGGACUCGUUAAAGAAGUCUAUGUACCUAUUACAUGCAGACGAUCAUUCGUAUGCAAUGGCUGCCUGAUUAGCAAAAGUUAAUUCACCAGCCAUCGUCCGUCCGGGGGAUGCGCUUACUCUGAAUCCGGCGGAUGGCAUAACCCGCGCUUGAGCUUCGGUUCGCGCAAGUAGGCUCCUUCUUCUUUUUCCCUGGAAAGGGGAAGGGUAAACACAGGGAUAGUGAAACGGCCUUUACAGGUGUAGUUCCGUUUCGCGAAACACCGAACACCUGAGAUGAGUGUGGUAGCUUUAUAGAGCAAUGUUCUGGACGCGGGUUCGACUCCCGCCAUCUCCACUG